This 201-nucleotide long non-coding RNA is filed under the name Vigna radiata. Its description in RNAcentral is "long non-coding RNA (VRAD_LNC002299)". The record is from RNAcentral. Lineage: Eukaryota; Viridiplantae; Streptophyta; Magnoliopsida; Fabales; Fabaceae.
AAAUAAUCGUUUCAAUAGUUUGUUGGGGUGAACGGAGAAUCUGAUGGGGUGCAGGAAGUAAAAGUCAUAAUUUAGUAAUGAAAGAAAAAAAUGGAAUAAAGUUGACAACAGAACAUUAACAUAGGAUUAGGAUGUACCGCUACCACCAAAGCAUCCGACACCCAACAACCAACAACCAACGUCACCACGUGCUACCUCCAC